ACCUACUUUGGAGCAGGGUUGAAAGGACAACAGAGCUGAGUCGCCCUGUGUGAAGAAGCUGGGCUGGAGAUGUCCAGGCAGAAGCAGGACAAGAGGAGCUCAGGAGGAGAGGGGUGUGUGACUCAAGGGGGAGGCAUCAUGUUUCUGAUCCCUGACAUCCUUUCACUCUAGGGCAGGGUGAGCCAUUCCUGAUGAGGAGAUACACAAGCAACUCCCAGAGGGACUCUCCAUGAAAAGGAUUUUCAGGUCACAGGUGUAACCAAGAGCAGCAGAGCAUUUGAGUGGCUAAAUCCAACCGAAAGCAACCCUCCCUCUCAUCAGUGGGCCCCAGUGAUCUGCAAGUGAUCUUGAGGGCCCCUCAAGAAAGGCAGAUGGGAAAAAAAGGCAGAAACAGACUUUCUUCAGUCAAGUUGCACAGAACAGUCUAUAGCCUUUGAUAUUAAAAUUCUUCAGUUAUUCGAGCUGAGUGCUUGUAAAUAAAAUCAGAUAGAAGAAACCAAUUAAAAGCAUGAGGUCCAGAACCACACAGGCAGGGCUCAAAUCCCACCCCUCCCUCACUUCCUGUGCGGUGCUAAUCUCCAUGUGUCUUAAUUCCCUUAUUGUAAUAUGGGAAUCAUAAUAGUCCCUAAACUCAUAAGAACAGUUUUGAGAUUUAAGAAUGGGAGUAUAUCUAAAUUCCUUAGCAGAGUGCCUGGCACAUAAUAAGUCCUCAUUAGAUAUCAGCUACUAUAUCAUCGCCAUCAUCAUCAUCAGGCUAGUAAGUGCAAUGGUGUCUAUUUCCCAGGUUUCUGGGCCACGGAGUCCACAUGGCUUAAAGGGACAUAAGAUGAGCUGAUUAAUAGCUAGAAGACAGCUCCCAUACUCAGGUCAUGCUUAGCAUGGGCCCACUGAGGAUGUGAAUACGCAGCAACAGCAGGACACCUGGUCACAUUCAUAGGAGCAGACGCUGAGGAUUUGUUUAUGAACAGGACUGACGAGAUCCCUACUCACUCAGAGCUUACAUUCAAUGAGAGCAGACAGAAAAUAAACAAGGAAAAAGCCCUGCUGGUUUGGAUGUGAGGUGUGACGGGAAGAGAGGACUCAAGAUUGUCCGAGAAACUGAGGAUAUGAUGUCAUUUACUGAACAGGAAGAAAGGGUUUCAAAAGUAUUGAGAGAUGUGCAUGAGACACAUGGUUUAGGAAAAGGAAACUAAUUAUCGUCUCAGAUCCAUUUGUAAUGAAGUAAUGUCUCCAGAAUUGCCAUUGACAUGCUACCUUCUUUGGUGGCAGGUCUUGCAAAACCAAGGUCUAAUUUCGGACAGAGCUGCACCCUAGGAGCAGGGGCAAACUGGAAGUCGAUGACCCUCACGCCAACCAAAGCUCAGCUUCAAAUUAUCUCAAUGCCUAAAAUUGGAAUAACAUGAAGGAACCAGACAGAAACAAUGUCAGUCCACUCUAGAAGAAGAUGACAUCUUCCUAGGCCUCCAGUUGUUUCUAUAAUUUUCCAAAUGCAAAGUCUGGCAUAUUAAAAAAAAACAACCCUCGCAUAAAACGACCACAAAAUAUGAAUGAAAACCAGCAGAAACAACAGACAUACAGGGGCUUGAGAUAAUAGAGUUUUCAGAUAUGGACUCAGUAAGUGCUGGGGAAAAAAAUAGUUUGAACUCUGGAGCUAUACUGGUCAGAAAAGGAAAGGAUUGUUAACACACCAAACUGUGGCUUCUAGUCACUAGCCAGUCAGAGGUUGUCCUCUCUUCCCUCAUCCCUCCUUAAAACCACUCAGCACAAAAGCACAAACCCAAACUUUACAGGAAGCCCUUACCUCCCUCCCUUGCUGCAGCAAACUGCGCCCCGCUAAUUUUUCUAUUUUUAGUAGAGACGGGGUCCCACCCUAGCUCAGGUUGGUCUGUUACUCCUGAGCUCAAGUGAUCCUCCCGCCUCAGCCUCUCAGAGUGCUAGGAUUACAGGCAUGAAUGAGCCACCGUGCCUGGCCCACUUUUUUGCCUUAAGUAAUGGUUAGUUUGAAUUGUUCACCUACCUCCUUGUGGCUAUGAUUUGCCUGGUAUUGUCUCAUGCACUCACUCUCAUCCUUGCUCUCUCUCUCUCUCUUUUUCCAACCUCCUUAUGUCAUUUUUCUUAAGGAGCCAGGCUACAUAUGGAACAUUUAUUUUUUCAUUUCUGGUUGCCACAUCUUAGCACGUUGGUAAUUUCAAAAGUAUCCAGGGAAGGAAAAUAAGGACUAUGAAGGAUCCGAAACCAUGGCAAAUGAAUAAAUUCAGAACAGCAGUGCACCAAAAGAAAACCUACAGGGAGUAUGAUGGUUGCCUUCAAAUGUCACAAGGUUCUGUGAAAGUGCUAUUGGAACCUGGAAUUUGAAAAAUAGAAAAAUUAUUCUCCUUGUCCAAUCUCUUUAUUCUACAAACCAGGAAAGUUAGGCUCAGAGAGAGGCUAAAUUAAAAUUCUGACUCAAAGUCACAGAGCAGUUCCUUGCUCAGUUGGAAUUAUAAUACUGAACUUCUGGUUCAAGUUAGUCAUGUUCUUUAUAGCUACAGGAAGACUGACUUAGUGCCUUGUAAGAAAUUUCUAGUAAUUAGAGUGCUUCAAAUAUGGAAUGGACGACUAUUGAAGGAUGAAUUGUGUCUCUCAAAAAGACACAUUAAUCAUGUCCCUGUAAUCCCAGCUAUUCAGGAGGCUGAGGCAGGAGGAUAGGUUGAGCUCAGGACAGGCGUUUAAGGCCGGCCUGGGUAACACAGCAAGACCUUGUCUCUAAUAAUUAAUUAAUUAAUUAAUGUUAAGUCCUAAUCUUUAAUACCAGCCAAUGUGAACUUAUUUGAAAAUAGAAUCUUUGUAGAUGUAUACAAAUUGCAUUCAUACUGGAUUAGAGUGUUCAUAUAAGAAGACAGAAAUUUGCAUACAGACACAGAGGGAAGACGGCCAUGUUUAGACAGAGGCAGAGUUUGGAGUGAUGCAUCUAGAAGCCAAGGAACACCAAGGAUUGCUGGCAACUGCCAGCAGCUAGAAAGACGUAAGCCCUAGAGCCUUCAGAGAGGUCACAGUGGUAGUGACACCUUGAUUUCAGACUUCUGGCAUCCAGA
Non-coding RNA from Microcebus murinus (gray mouse lemur), 3074 nucleotides. NCBI's taxonomy places the organism in Eukaryota, Metazoa, Chordata, Mammalia, Primates, Cheirogaleidae. The record is from RefSeq and is a predicted model, not a curated record.